This is a long non-coding RNA of Hyaena hyaena (striped hyena), 656 nucleotides long. RefSeq lists it as uncharacterized. The transcript has 4 exons. The record is from RefSeq and is a predicted model, not a curated record. NCBI's taxonomy places the organism in Eukaryota, Metazoa, Chordata, Mammalia, Carnivora, Hyaenidae.
GUGGUCUUGGAGAGAGUCAGGGCUGGGAACUGCAGGCUCUUGCGGAGGUUUUUCACCCAGGACUUGGCUUUCUGACGUGAAGCGUAGCUGGUUAUCUCCACGUGGACUGCACGGCUGAGGACCGCUGUCCCCUCAGGCCAAAAAAGAGGCAAGAAACAUGUACUGGGAUGGACACGUGCAAGGAAUGACGAGAACUGAAGAACUGUGCCCCAGUGUCCUUCAUCUGCGUGGAAGGAAAUCCCCCCGUGAAGCCCAGGUCACUGCCGCUCACCUGGGCCCCGGCCUUGCAGACAUCCACCGCCUUCGUCCCACAGCUCUGCUCCGCGCUCCAGCUGGAAAAUCACAUCUGACUGGCAAUGCUGAUACCCUGCUCAUUGAAAAAAGAAAUACACCCCAUACUCCGGUCUCCGUACGCGGGAACCACCAGCAGCUGACUUCUGUGUGCCUGCCUUUUCUGUGGCUCUAUGUGACACACGUGGGAAAGGAGCUGAUCCCUGUCUGAAACAGAACCACGAUUCCUAGGGGUUCCCAAAUGUGUCUGGGAGCCCUACUUUGGGGAUGUACCUCGUUCUUCAGGCUCCAGCAGCAUUUCAAAUCUCCACGCCUUCUGAAUCUACACAUUCUCACCUUCCGAAAGACAAGACUCUUCCCUCCUG